UGGGGAAUAUUGGACAAUGGGCGAAAGCCUGAUCCAGCCAUGCCGCGUGUGUGAAGAAGGUCUUCGGAUUGUAAAGCACUUUAAGUUGGGAGGAAGGGCAUUAACCUAAUACGUUAGUGUUUUGACGUUACCGACAGAAUAAGCACCGGCUAACUCUGUGCCAGCAGCCGCGGUAAUACAGAGGGUGCAAGCGUUAAUCGGAAUUACUGGGCGUAAAGCGCGCGUAGGUGGGUUGUUAAGUUGGAUGUGAAAGCCCCGGGCUCAACCUGGGAACUGCAUCCAACACUGGCAAGCUAGAGUACGGUAGAGGGUGGUGGAAUUUCCUGUGUAGCGGUGAAAUGCGUAGAUAUAGGAAGGAACACCAGUGGCGAAGGCGACCACCUGGACUGAUACUGACACUGAGGUGCGAAAGCGUGGGGAGCAAACA
RNAcentral lists this ribosomal RNA (427 nucleotides) under uncultured bacterium. RNAcentral describes it as "partial 16S ribosomal RNA". It matches the Rfam family "Bacterial small subunit ribosomal RNA", at positions 355 to 774 of the family's 1533-position model. The record is from RNAcentral.